Molecule: ribosomal RNA, 630 nt
Filed under: uncultured bacterium
Lineage: Bacteria
Description: bacterial SSU rRNA
Rfam family: Bacterial small subunit ribosomal RNA
Source: RNAcentral
UAAUACGUAGGGGGCGAGCGUUGUCCGGAAUGAUUGGGCGUAAAGGGCGCGUAGGCGGCUAGAUAAGUCUGAAGUGAAAGUCCUGUUUUCAAGAUGGGAAUUGCUUUGGAUACUGUAUAGCUUGAGUGCAGGAGAGGUAAGUGGAAUUCCCAGUGUAGCGGUGAAAUGCGUAGAGAUUGGGAGGAACACCAGUGGCGAAGGCGACUUACUGGACUGUAACUGACGCUGAGGCGCGAAAGUGUGGGGAGCAAACAGGAUUAGAUACCCUGGUAGUCCACACUGUAAACGAUGAAUGCUAGGUGUAGGGGGUAUCGACCCCUUCUGUGCCGCAGUCAACACAAUAAGCAUUCCGCCUGGGGAGUACGGCCGCAAGGUUGAAACUCAAAGGAAUUGACGGGGGCCCGCACAAGCAGCGGAGCAUGUGGUUUAAUUCGACGCAACGCGAAGAACCUUACCAGGUCUUGACAUCCAGUUAAAGCUGUAGAGAUACAGUGUGUGCUUGCACAAACUGAGACAGGUGGUGCAUGGUUGUCGUCAGCUCGUGUCGUGAGAUGUUGGGUUAAGUCCCGCAACGAGCGCAACCCUUAUUUUCAGUUACUAACGUGUAAGGCGAGGACUCUGAANAGACUG